Molecule: small nuclear RNA, 304 nt
Filed under: Ailuropoda melanoleuca (giant panda)
Lineage: Eukaryota; Metazoa; Chordata; Mammalia; Carnivora; Ursidae
Description: 7SK RNA
Rfam family: 7SK RNA
About the family: 7SK was discovered as an abundant small nuclear RNA in the mid-70s but a possible function has only recently been suggested. Two independent studies have found that 7SK RNA binds the CDK9/cyclin T complex (known as elongation factor P-TEFb).
Source: Rfam by way of RNAcentral
GGAUGGGAAGGCAGUUUGGCUGUGACACCUGUCACGCUGUUGAUUGCCGGGGUUGAUUUCAGCUGGUCGGGCUGGCGAGGUGGUAGCCCUUUCCUCCCUCACCGUUCCAUGUGCAUCCCUCCUGAUCGAAGAGGUUGACCUUUCCCAAUAGAGGAGGACCAUUCUCUGGUCAAGGGCAUACAAGCAGCUGCAUUCCUCUGCUAGAACCUGCAAACAAGCUCUCAAAUGUAGACCUUCAGUGUAAGGAAAAUAGGUUUUAUUUUUCCUUGCCAUAUCUGCAGUGUCCCUAUCAAUAAGGCAUUCC